UGAUGCCAGGGUCAAAAGGUCAUGUGUUUCAUGCUUGCAUGAAAAAGCAUGACUUUGGGACCCGUAAAACAUGAGAAAGUAGCCCGAAUAGGGCGGAUUUCGAAUGUUUUAGGAUUGUGAGAGCACAAAGUGCGUAACAAUUUGUAGGCAUCA
RNAcentral lists this small RNA (153 nucleotides) under Faecalicatena contorta. Its description in RNAcentral is "Clostridiales-1 RNA". It matches the Rfam family "Clostridiales-1 RNA". The record is from RNAcentral. Lineage: Bacteria; Bacillati; Bacillota; Clostridia; Lachnospirales; Lachnospiraceae.